RNA transcript from Gopherus flavomarginatus (Mexican gopher tortoise), 3950 nucleotides. It is a transcript of the gene named erlin-2, with no coding region annotated. The record is from RefSeq and is a predicted model, not a curated record. Lineage: Eukaryota; Metazoa; Chordata; Testudines; Testudinidae. The transcript is spliced from 12 exons.
GCGGAGCUCUCAGGGAUGGCCCAACUAGGUGCGAUAGCAGCGCUAUCUGUUAGUUUUUUGGCUGCAACUCUCUUCUCUGCAGUACACAAAAUUGAAGAAGGACAUAUUGGUGUUUAUUAUAGAGGUGGCGCAUUGCUGACUUCCACCAGUGGACCUGGCUUCCACCUUAUGCUCCCCUUUAUAACCUCCUACAAAUCUGUGCAGACUACAUUGCAGACAGAUGAGGUGAAAAAUGUUCCUUGUGGUACCAGUGGGGGAGUGAUGAUUUAUUUUGACAGGAUUGAGGUGGUGAAUUUCCUGAUCCAAGGUGCUGUGUAUGACAUAGUGAAGAACUACACAGCAGACUAUGACAAAGCACUCAUCUUCAACAAGAUUCACCAUGAGCUGAACCAGUUCUGCAGCGUUCACACUCUUCAGGAGGUCUACAUUGAGCUGUUUGAUCAGAUUGAUGAAAACCUUAAACUGGCUUUGCAGCAGGACCUGACCACCAUGGCUCCUGGACUCAUUAUACAGGCAGUCCGCGUCACGAAGCCAAACAUUCCAGAAACGAUUCGGAAGAAUUAUGAACUCAUGGAGAGCGAGAAGACAAAGCUGCUGAUCGCGGCUCAGAAGCAGAAGGUCGUGGAGAAGGAAGCAGAGACGGAGAGGAAGAAGGCCCUGAUUGAGGCAGAAAAAAUUGCCCAAGUGGCCGAAAUAACGUACGGACAGAAGGUGAUGGAAAAGGAAACGGAGAAGAAAAUUUCAGAGAUUGAAGAUGGUGCAUUCCUUGCUAGGGAGAAGGCAAAAGCUGACGCCGAAUGCUACACUGCCAUGAAGAUAGCAGAGGCUAACAAGCUGAAACUAACUCCUGAGUACUUGCAGCUGAUGAAAUACAAAGCUAUUGCAUCAAACAGCAAAAUCUAUUUUGGCAAAGAUAUUCCCAACAUGUUUAUGGACCACACGGGGAGCAAGCCUGCAGAGGGACUGGUGGAAGAGAUGAAAGGAGAGAAUUGGGCCGCUGCCACUGAGGAUUUGUGAAACCAUUUUAUAACACCUAAUGACCUUGCAAAAUUUUUGUUUAUUUUUUAACAGAUGAAACAAACUGAGAAGUUGGUUUCCCCUUUUGAUUUUUUCACUGUUCUGUGCUGAAGCAGAUGAGCCAGACUUAACCCUCUCAACCUUUUGUCUAGAAAUCAGUUUAGACACAAAUGUUUUGAUAUUCACAGACCAUUUUUUGGUUACUUCUCAAGCCAGGUUCAGCUCUGCACUGUAUUUUGACCCCUCCCUUUUGGAGGCCUGGUUAUUCUGUAGCAGGGGGGAGAAUCCUGCAAAUUUCCAGCAGGAUGAUUUGUUGUGUGGUUAGGUUGAUUAAAUGAAACUUUGAGUUCUGCAUGAGCAGUUAUAGCAAUUGGGAUACGGGAGGCAAUGCCCUUCUUUGCUGCUGGAAGCUGUCAUUUCUUUUGUUGGAGAUUCCCAGUACAUUUUUUGAGCCCUUUGAAAGAGACAGAUGUUCUAGGAUUUCUGUACACUACAUAUCCCAGCUUAAGCAAGGCAGCACAGAUAUGGUGGCAGAGAUUGUUAGUUUCCCAUGUCCUGAGAUCAGUGUUUUUACAUGGUCCACAUUUUGUAGAGGGAUAAGGAGGUUCUAAAUUCUGUAAUUCUCUUUCUAGAAAAUCAUCUGUAGAAGUGAUGCUACCAGGUCAGGGUUGAGGUGCUCUGGUGCGGGCAGCGUGAGCAUUCCCUGUUCCUGUUCUCUGGCUAAAUGGGACAUCAGUCUCCCAAGAUGCCAAUAUAUGGUACCUUUCACCAACAUCUAAUUGAUUUUUAGGAAAAGUAGCUUACAAAACAAUGAAUCGUUCAGACCCCCCAUCUUGCAAAUACUUUUGCAGGUGAGUAGCUGUGCUCAGGUGAAUGGUCUCAUUGACUUAUCUCCAUAUGUGUUUGUAGGAUUGGGGCCUACAUUUGAAAUAGCCCAGUAUGGUUCAGUGGCUGCCAUACAUUAUCAGGAAGAGAAUGUUCAGACAAGUUGAAGUGAAUGGCUAAUUUAGACCUCGUGUAGGCAUUUUGAUUCAUGUUUAGCAGGGGCAUACGAAACGCAGUAUUGUAUAGUCCCAGGGAGAAACAGUUGCCCCUGUUGUCUUUAGACAAUUCAGAAAGAACAAUUUAUCCUUCUCCCCCUCCAGAAUGAUGCUGUAAUACAUGUGGUCCAUUAAGGUGCAAUUUGAUUUUCCAUAGAUUUUUGGUGUGUGUGUGUGUAUAUAUAUACGCAAAUUCAACUGGGGGAAAAUAAAGGGCUUAGCAUAAUUCAGGGCAGGAGAGAACAUCUGUUCCCCUCAGGCCAUCUCCUCCCACUUGGCAGGAAAGCCUGUUUAUUAAUCACUGUUUUAUUUUGCAACCUACACACAGAUACAUGGUGGCUCCAGCCAGAGUGCAAACACCGUUGUCAGUGGCCAGCUUAUUUCAUGUAUAAUCUGUUGUUCCAUAUCCUGCCACCUGCUGCGUUGGUAUUAGCGUGCUAAACUCAUCAGAGUGCUCAGCCUGUCUGGGUGUUUUUGUAACAACACAGCCCCAGUCAGAUAGAAACGUGAUGAAUUUCUGCUGCUUCCAAUAUUUUUCACAUUCGUUUUCUUUAAUAUUUUCACAGCUUGAAUGACUACUACUUUGCCUGUACUUGAAAAUGUAAAAUGAAAGCUGCCAUCAGUUACUGCAUGAGAGAACUGAUAACUCUAUUUGCGGUAUAUCUCUUCCUAUAUAUUUUUUUACUUACUGGAAAACCUGAGGUUUAUACCUUAAAUUCAGAUUCCAGACUGAUAUACUACAUUAGACAACACUGCAAUAGAAAAAUCAAAUCACUACCCCAGCUCUCACAUAACUAGCAUUUGCAAAUAGGAUUCUGCGCAGAGCACAGGAAGAGCGUGGGAAGAGCAGAACUUUUCUUUUUUUGCGGGUCGGGGUUGCGGUUUAUACUGAGGGUAGUCUCACUCGUUCAGGAUUGCUCACACUGAUGGUAAAUAUUUGCAUCUAGUAACUAAUGCGUAGUUUUUAAUCAAACAUUUUUUACUAGCCAAAAAAAAAGCCAAAGUGUAUUGAACCAUUUUAUAUGACUUUCAUGUAAAAAUAUGUGGAAUAAAUAGGACUUUUUUUACCAUACAAUUUCACUAUAAAAGAAUGAGGAAAAACAGAGAAAAAGAAGUAGCCAAUAUUAGUAUAAUGUUAAUUUAAAACACAAUCGUACAGCCUAAUUGUUCCGCCUGGGUAACAGCUUAGGGUGUGUCUACACUGCAGCAGCGAGCAUGCCGCCCCACCCAUCUAGGCAGAGUGGUGCUAGCUCGGCUUGAGCUAGUGCACUAAAAAUAGCAGUGUGGACACUGUAGCUCAUUCACGCUAUUUUUAGCUGCGCUGGCAUGAGUUUGUCUGCCCGGGCUGGGGGUUUGCUUCCUGCUGCAGUGUAGCCAUGCCCUUAGUUACUGCAGCUUGUGAGAUGAUAAAGUGAAAUCUUAGCAUAAUUGGGGGGUUUUAUCAUAAUUUAGCUAGAGCAAAGCUGACGCCAUGCCUUUCUCUACCAGACUGAAUUCAGUGUUGGCAUCUGAUACAGUUUCUUCAUUAUUUUAUAUCUUUAACUUCUUUUGCCUUCCAGAGUAAAUUUGCUACUAUAUUUGACUCUAUUCCAUCUCUUCCUUGUGAGCAUAGUGACAAGAUGUCAGCUAGGUCUUUGUUUUUGUUCUUUCUUUCUUUCCUGCAUGCAAAUUUGCAAUGAGCAUUGGAAUAUGUAAAAUCACUUGUUUAAUGAAGGGACUACAAGGGGUAUGUGAAUAGUCAUGUUUGGGAAUCCCUGAUUGAGGCAUGAAAAUAACUGCAUUGGCAGAGGAAGUUCUGACCUGGGCAAGCAUUGGAAGUGAUUCAUUGGAAUAAAAAAGCCGUUUUAUUUUGCUAUUUGUUAUAAUGACUGAAUAAAAGUUUUUUCACUUGUA